This 44-nucleotide non-coding RNA is filed under the name Plasmodium falciparum 3D7. Lineage: Eukaryota; Apicomplexa; Aconoidasida; Haemosporida; Plasmodiidae. The record is from RNAcentral.
CAAAGCUCAUCGUACGACCUUCUAAAGCAUACAGGGAUGGGUGG